AGAGUUUGAUCAUGGCUCAGGACGAACGCUGGCGGCGUGCCUAACACAUGCAAGUCGAACGGAGUAAAGCCCUUCGGGACUUUACUUAGUGGCGAACGGGUGAGUAACGCGUGAGGAACCUGCCUUUCAGUGGGGGACAACAGUUGGAAACGACUGCUAAUACCGCAUGACGCUUCUUGGGGGCAUCCCCGAGAAGUCAAAGAUUUAUUGCUGAAAGAUGGCCUCGCGUCUGAUUAGCUAGUUGGCGGGGUAACGGCCCACCAAGGCGACGAUCAGUAGCCGGUCUGAGAGGAUGAACGGCCACAUUGGGACUGAGAUACGGCCCAGACUCCUACGGGAGGCA
This 343-nucleotide ribosomal RNA is filed under the name uncultured bacterium. RNAcentral describes it as "bacterial SSU rRNA". It matches the Rfam family "Bacterial small subunit ribosomal RNA", at positions 8 to 350 of the family's 1533-position model. The record is from RNAcentral.